UCCAGGUCACAGGCUCACCCUAUUCAUACACAAAUAUGCCCUUGAGACAGCUUAAGGGCAUAUUUGUGUAUGAAUAGGGUGAGCCUGUGACCUGGA
Molecule: non-coding RNA, 96 nt
Organism: Podarcis lilfordi (Lilford's wall lizard)
Lineage: Eukaryota; Metazoa; Chordata; Lepidosauria; Squamata; Lacertidae
Source: the annotation of a GenBank genome assembly